RNAcentral lists this long non-coding RNA (1779 nucleotides) under Danio rerio (zebrafish). RNAcentral describes it as "si:dkey-174c12.3 (ENSDARG00000097654.2)". The record is from RNAcentral. Lineage: Eukaryota; Metazoa; Chordata; Actinopteri; Cypriniformes; Danionidae.
AAUCAACCGAAAUUCACUUCCGGGCUAGGGUUGAAUUUCACACCAGUGCUUCAUUCGGAAAGGUUCAUCCCUAUGUCCUAAGCCCUGCAGAGAGUCCCUCUAAGGGAAUUGAGAGCACUGGGGUGAGUCUUUCCGAAUUUAACGCAGUGUGUGACACCAAACAAUUCCCCUGCUCAAAUGAUCAUGGCCCGAAGUGUCCAUCAGGAUUAACCUUCGGUCCGAGCCCUUCGAGAAACCCUCCAAAAGAGCCACAUAUGCGAAACAUCCAGAAAACAGACAAGCGGCCGGAUGGAGCAGCGCCGCUGCGCUCCUCCAGUCCUGUGGAGGGCGCUGUCAGUGAAGCCCCCGGCUCUCCAAUACCUCCACCUAAAGCAAGCGGCAGGCUCGGUACGUCUCCUCCAGUCUCUUCAGGCCUGUCGGGAUGGAGCCUACUCAGCUAGCUGUGAUAUUAACCCGCGGCGUGAGAUGCCCACCGGUUGAUGAAGAGCUCGAAGGCGGAGGAGGAAAAGAAAAACGUUUGAAGGAGAUGAGCCAAAUUCCUCGUUCAGGGACCACCGGUGUUGGUAUGUUAGGUGGGUAAAGGGUCGUCGUCUCCUUUACUGCAUUUGCACUUGCAGCACAGGACGAAUGGUGUGGCAAGCAGCAGGAACGGAGAGGCCACCAGUAAGAGCAGGCCAAAACCAGCAAAGAUACCAACAACCUGAGGAGAAGCAGAUGAGAAGGUUUCAGAAGAAGUGUUCGAGAAGUUGAAUCAAGUUAAUCUUACAAGUUACUUGAACUUGCGUUACAUUAAAACAACUUGAAACAUGCUGAGGUAAUAAGUUGAAACACAGCAAGUAAAAUUUUUACAAACGUUUAGUACUAACAAAGACUAUAGAAUACACAAGAUCUGUCACUUGCAUACAUUGUACAAAAAGUCUGUUACUUUACGAUGCAGGGAAAAAAAUUUAAAUAACGGCUGUUAAACUGUAAACAUUUAUCGUAAAAUAACAGACAGUAAAUUAAAGAAAUUUAUCGGAAAUUUAAAUUUAAGUCAAUUUCUUUAAUUUACUGUCUGUUAUUUUACAGGAAAGUCUGUAAUUUAACGGCCGUUAUUUUACUCCAGCAGCCGGGAAAAAAAAAACGUAAAAUAACAGAUUUUUUUUACAGUGUAGUUUUGAAUGGGGAAAAGUGUAAUGUUCAACAUGGCGAAUAAAGCCCCGCCUUCAUCGAUCACUAUAAACUGUGGUUUUCUCCGGAGGGGAAAAGAUCACACCAGACGUGUUUUUACGAAAAAAAAAAACACGAAACACCUUUUUAUGAAAUCUCUGCAAAUACUUGCUUUACAGACACAAAAAUAUAUCCAAAUAAAGCUUGAAACCUGUUUUGUAAUCUGUAUGAAACGAACGCAAGGUACAGUUCACCCUGUCAAGUGCACAUCACAUGACAGCAACUGCUUAAACGCCUACAAACUUGUAAAUAAAGUGUUGCUGUCAUUUCUGGAAGAAAUUCGCCAUCAAGACCAAGUUUAAAAUUACUUCAGAAGAGCAGCAUGAUCAGAAAAUCAUCAUUCAGAGGACGAUAAUGUAUGUAUGUAUUAAUGUAACCAUAAAUGAGGUUGGUGUCAUGAUCUUGUUUUUUCGAGCGCAUUAGCUUGGGCAACCUGAAAAUAUGCUGAUUUUGUUUGAUUCAAAUGUUUAGAAACUAAAUGUGUAUAUAUAUAUAUAUAUAUAUAUAUAUAAAUAAUUAUCUGUUCAUCUUAAACCCGAAUCAAGGCCCAGAAUAAAUGUUAUCAAGGCU